UUCUCUUUGCUGAUUAAACCAGCCCAACCCCGACCCUGCAACUGGGAGUGGAGCCACAGCCCCAAGAUCCCCAGGUGAGGCCAUUCAAGGAUAGGACAGAACUCAGAGGUCAUCAUGGAGUCUGUGCUUGGCCUGGUUUUCCUUGUCGCUAUUUUAAAAGGUGUCCAGGGUGAGGUGCAGCUGGUGGAGUCUGGGGGAGACCUGGUGAAGCCUGGGGGGUCCCUGAGACUCUCCUGUGUAGCCUCUGGAUUCACCUUCAGUAGCUCCGACAUGAGCUGGAUCCGCCAGGCUCCAGGAAAGGGGCUUCAGUGGGUCGCAUACAUUAGCAAUGAUGGAAGUAGCACAAGCUACGCAGACGCUGUGAAGGGCCGAUUCACCAUCUCCAGAGACAACGCCAAGAACACGCUCUAUCUGCAGAUGAACAGCCUCAGAGCCGAGGACACGGCCGUGUAUUACUGUGCAGACAGUAGCAGCUGGUUUGACUACUGGGGCCAGGGAACCCUGGUCACCGUCUCCUCAGAGAGUCCAUCCCCUCCAAACCUCUUCCCCCUCAUCACCUGUGAGAACUCCCUGUCCGAUGAGACCCUCGUGGCCAUGGGCUGCCUGGCCCGGGACUUCCUGCCUGGCUCCAUCACCUUCUCCUGGAAGUACGAGAACCUCAGUGCAAUCAACAACCAGGACAUUAAGACCUUCCCUUCAGUUCUGAGAGAGGGCAAGUAUGUGGCGACCUCUCAGGUGUUCCUGCCCUCCGUGGACAUCAUCCAGGGUUCAGACGAGUACAUCACAUGCAACGUCAAGCACUCCAAUGGUGACAAAUCUGUGAACGUGCCCAUCACAGGGCCUGUACCAACGUCUCCCAACGUGACUGUCUUCAUCCCACCCCGCGACGCCUUCUCUGGCAAUGGCCAGCGCAAGUCCCAGCUCAUCUGCCAGGCUGCAGGUUUCAGCCCCAAGCAGAUUUCCGUGUCUUGGUUCCGUGAUGGAAAGCAGAUUGAGUCUGGCUUCAACACAGGGAAGGCAGAGGCCGAGGAGAAAGAGCAUGGGCCUGUGACCUACAGCAUCCUCAGCAUGCUGACCAUCACCGAGAGUGCCUGGCUCAGCCAGAGCGUGUUCACCUGCCACGUGGAGCACAAUGGGAUCAUCUUCCAGAAGAACGUGUCCUCCAUGUGCACCUCCAAUACACCCGUUGGCAUCAGCAUCUUCACCAUCCCCCCCUCCUUUGCCAGCAUCUUCAACACCAAGUCAGCCAAGCUGUCCUGCCUGGUCACUGACCUGGCCACUUAUGACAGCCUGACCAUCUCCUGGACCCGUCAGAAUGGCGAGGCUCUGAAAACCCACACCAACAUCUCUGAGAGCCACCCCAACAACACCUUCAGUGCCAUGGGGGAAGCCACUGUCUGCGUGGAGGAAUGGGAGUCAGGCGAGCAGUUCACCUGCACAGUGACCCACACAGAUCUGCCCUCACCGCUGAAGAAGACCAUCUCCAGGCCCAAGGAUGUCAACAAGCACAUGCCUUCUGUCUACGUCCUGCCCCCGAGCCGGGAGCAGCUGAGCCUGCGGGAAUCGGCCUCACUCACCUGCCUGGUGAAAGGCUUCUCACCCCCAGAUGUGUUCGUGCAGUGGCUGCAGAAGGGCCAGCCCGUGCCCCCUGACAGCUACGUGACCAGCGCCCCGAUGCCCGAGCCCCAAGCCCCCGGCCUCUACUUUGUCCACAGCAUCCUGACCGUGAGUGAGGAGGACUGGAAUGCCGGGGAGACCUACACCUGUGUUGUAGGCCAUGAGGCCCUGCCCCAUGUGGUGACCGAGAGGAGCGUGGACAAGUCCACCGGGGGGGAGGUGAGUGCCGAGGAGGAAGGCUUCGAGAACCUGAAUACCAUGGCAUCCACCUUCAUCGUCCUCUUCCUCCUCAGUGUCUUCUACAGCACCACAGUCACUCUGUUCAAGGUGAAAUGACCGGCCAGCUAGGAGCAUCAGAGCCCCGGGAGAUGGAGCCCAGGGGGCACUGCCUUGGGGUCUGGGGUCCCCAGCCUGUGGGGCCCAUCAACUUGUGCCUAAAUCUUUCCCACGUCGCCCCUCCCGCUUCCAGCUCAAAGACAAGGGCCUCUUGAGACUUGGCCAAUACCGGGAUGCGUGGGAGCCUGCAGCCGUGGCUCCACUGCGAGCGUUGCUUUGCAAUGUAUACGCAUGUCGCCUUGAAAUAAACAUGUACAUUUUGUGAAA
Canis lupus familiaris (dog) is the source of this 2220-nucleotide non-coding RNA. NCBI's taxonomy places the organism in Eukaryota, Metazoa, Chordata, Mammalia, Carnivora, Canidae. The record is from the annotation of a RefSeq genome assembly.